AAGACUUAAGAUGCCAUGUCCAUCUGCUGAAUACAACAUGUUCAUGUUACUAUAGAGUGAAAGGCUGCUUGUGGAGUUUCAUCUGAUGCAAGGAACAAAGGGGACACCUGCAAUACAUGUCAUGCCUGCAGUAGGUAGAAAGUGCAGAGACUCACUUGAGGGUGGCACCACAGCACAGAACAGCACAGCUACAUCUACAUUCCAUUCCAUCCCUCUUUCAACUGCAGCCAUGAUUCCAGCGACGCCUGCUGCUCCCAAGACCCGUUUCAGUAAAGGUGGCACGUGUGGCGAUGAAUUGCAGCUUAUCAUUAAAAACGGCGCGGGAGCGAAGCGGAUCGCUCAAGACUUCAACGUGGCGGACACCUCCCUAAGUCCUGUUGGGCCCUUUAGCCCUCCAGUGGAUGAUGGGCCAGUUUUUGGGCCAUCCCUUUCUCAGAGUCGGCUCGUUCCUUUUGGC
Molecule: unclassified non-coding RNA, 457 nt
Filed under: Zea mays
Lineage: Eukaryota; Viridiplantae; Streptophyta; Magnoliopsida; Poales; Poaceae
Description: misc RNA Zm00001eb136850
Source: RNAcentral